RNAcentral lists this ribosomal RNA (468 nucleotides) under uncultured bacterium. RNAcentral describes it as "partial 16S ribosomal RNA". It matches the Rfam family "Bacterial small subunit ribosomal RNA", at positions 28 to 507 of the family's 1533-position model. The record is from RNAcentral.
GACGAACGCUGGCGGCGUGCUUAACACAUGCAAGUCGAACGGAAAGGCCCUGCUUUUGUGGGGUGCUCGAGUGGCGAACGGGUGAGUAACACGUGAGUAACCUGCCCUUGACUUUGGGAUAACUUCAGGAAACUGGGGCUAAUACCGGAGAGGAGCUCCUGCUGCAUGGUGGGGGUUGGAAAGUUUCGGCGGUUGGGGAUGGACUCGCGGCUUAUCAGCUUGUUGGUGGGGUAGUGGCUUACCAAGGCUUUGACGGGUAGCCGGCCUGAGAGGGUGACCGGCCACAUUGGGACUGAGAUACGGCCCAGACUCCUACGGGAGGCAGCAGUGGGGAAUAUUGCACAAUGGGCGGAAGCCUGAUGCAGCAACGCCGCGUGCGGGAUGACGGCCUUCGGGUUGUAAACCGCUUUCGCCUGUGACGAAGCGUGAGUGACGGUAAUGGGUAAAGAAGCAACGGCUAACUACGUG